RNAcentral lists this non-coding RNA (23 nucleotides) under Cricetulus griseus (Chinese hamster). The record is from RNAcentral. Lineage: Eukaryota; Metazoa; Chordata; Mammalia; Rodentia; Cricetidae.
AUCCUUAGGUCGCUGGUUCGAUU